CCUACGGGCGGCAGCAGUAGGGAAUCUUGCACAAUGGGCGAAAGCCUGAUGGAGCAACGCCGCGUGGGGGAAGAAGGUCUUCGGAUCGUAAAACUCUGUUGUUAGAGAAGAAAGUGCGGGAGAGUAACUGUUCACGUUUCGACGGUAUCUAACCAGAAAGCCACGGCUAACUACGUGCCAGCAGCCGCGGUAAUACGUAGGUGGCAAGCUUUAUCCGGAUUUAUUGGGCGUAAAGGGAACGCAGGCGGUCUUUUAAGUCUGAUGUGAAGGCCUUCGGCUUAACCGGAGUAGUGCAUUGGAAACUGGGAGACGUGAGGGCAGAAGAGGAGAGUGGAACUCCAUGUGUAGCGGUGAAAUGCGUAGAUAUAUGGAGGAACACCAGUGGCGAAGGCGGCUCUCUGGUCUGUAACUGACGCUGAGGUUCGAAAGCGUGGGUAGCAAACAGGAUUAGAUACCCGGGUAGUC
This 465-nucleotide ribosomal RNA is filed under the name uncultured bacterium. RNAcentral's name for it is "partial 16S ribosomal RNA". It matches the Rfam family "Bacterial small subunit ribosomal RNA", at positions 338 to 795 of the family's 1533-position model. The record is from RNAcentral.